Sinocyclocheilus grahami is the source of this 303-nucleotide long non-coding RNA. RefSeq lists it as uncharacterized. The record is from RefSeq and is a predicted model, not a curated record. The transcript has 3 exons. Lineage: Eukaryota; Metazoa; Chordata; Actinopteri; Cypriniformes; Cyprinidae.
UGGGAUAUUGCUACGAGGACUGAACCACUACCGUGGUGAGGUAUUUGCCUACCCAAUGUUUUUGCAGAGGGAAUUGUCGGAGAGGGCAAAUGUCACUUUCUUCUGCAUGGAUGUUGUCUGCAGGUACUGGCCAUACCUAAGCAAAGUGGCUGAAGAAUCAUCAGAUCUUCAGCCGCUGAUGGAAAUGAGGCCAUUUCUUAGUGUAAUGCAUGCCAAAGCUCAUACAGCGAAAUGCGAGGUGAGAUGGGGUGGCAGAAAUCAGGAUGGAGCAGGGAACACUGUCGGAGAGGAAGUUGAACAAGU